Molecule: small RNA, 2968 nt
Filed under: Pan troglodytes (chimpanzee)
Lineage: Eukaryota; Metazoa; Chordata; Mammalia; Primates; Hominidae
Description: processed transcript
Source: RNAcentral
GUGAGCAGAAGGGUCCUGAGCCAACCUGUGGCAAUAUGUACCCCUAUCGGACCUUCGUUUCCCACCACACCCCUCCACGGACCUUGUUUUAGGCAAUGCACUGACCCAUGCUCCGAUUUUUAGAAAUUUCUAAAAGCCUAGAAAGGAGCCAGGAGGAGGCCGGGAGGAAGCCCUCUAUGGAGAAGGUUCUGCCCAGGCCUCCCCAACUCCUUACCCACCCGUGCCCGAGAGAGAAGUGGCUCGCUGCUCACACCCCCUUCUGCCAGUGCAGCGCGAGUAAGAGCGCCCAAGGGACCACAGCUGGCAUCCCAGGGGUUAAUUCCGGAGCAGCCCAGGUGGAGGUCGAGCCCCCAGCCCCGUCGGCACCUCCAGGCUUCCGAGGCCACCGGAACGGAGGAGGCUGCGGUGGCUCUUUGUCUACCUGCUCUGGGUGUUAAAGAGCCCGCUCGCAGCCUGCAUCGCCGGGGCUCGGGACAGAAGUCAGCGGCGGGGAAAUGGGGCUCUGUCACUUUAAGUACAGCUGGAGCCCUGGGAUGAAAGCAGCUCCAUCAGUAGUGGACUCAGCGAUGCAUCAGACAAUCUCAGUUCAGAAGAAUUCAAUGCCAGCUCCUCACUCAACUCCCUCCCAAGUACUCCCACUGCUUCUCGCAGGAACUCAACAAUAGUGCUACGCACAGACUCAGAGAAGCGCUCACUGGCAGAAAGUGGGCUGAGCUGGUUUAGUGAAUCAGAGGAGAAAGCCCCUAAAAAACUGGAGUACGACAGUGGUAGCCUGAAGAUGGAACCUGGGACUUCUAAGUGGCGGAGGGAGCGGCCUGAGAGCUGUGAUGAUUCAUCCAAGGGUGGAGAACUGAAAAAACCCAUCAGCCUGGGCCACCCUGGUUCCCUGAAGAAGGGCAAGACCCCACCUGUGGCUGUAACUUCCCCCAUCACUCACACAGCCCAGAGUGCCCUCAAAGUCGCAGGCAAACCUGAGGGCAAAGCUACAGACAAGGGUAAGCUUGCAGUGAAGAAUACUGGGCUCCAACGCUCCUCCUCUGAUGCUGGUCGGGACCGCCUGAGUGAUGCUAAGAAGCCCCCCUCGGGCAUUGCUCGCCCCUCCACUUCGGGAUCCUUUGGCUACAAGAAGCCUCCUCCUGCCACAGGCACAGCCACUGUCAUGCAAACCGGUGGUUCAGCCACUCUCAGCAAGAUCCAGAAGUCCUCAGGCAUCCCUGUCAAGCCAGUAAAUGGGCGCAAGACUAGCUUAGAUGUUUCCAACAGUGCAGAGCCAGGAUUCCUGGCUCCUGGAGCCCGUUCUAACAUCCAGUACCGCAGCCUGCCCCGGCCAGCCAAGUCAAGUUCUAUGAGCGUGACCGGCGGGCGGGGUGGACCUCGCCCUGUGAGCAGCAGCAUUGACCCCAGUCUCCUCAGCACCAAGCAGGGAGGCCUUACGCCUUCCAGACUGAAGGAGCCUACCAAGGUAGCCAGUGGGCGGACCACUCCAGCCCCUGUCAAUCAGACAGAUCGGGAAAAGGAGAAGGCCAAAGCCAAGGCAGUGGCCUUGGACUCAGACAACAUCUCCUUGAAGAGUAUUGGCUCCCCAGAAAGUACUCCCAAGAACCAAGCAAGCCACCCCACAGCCACCAAGCUGGCAGAGCUGCCACCAACCCCUCUCAGGGCCACAGCGAAGAGCUUUGUCAAACCACCCUCACUAGCCAAUCUUGACAAGGUCAACUCCAACAGUCUGGAUCUACCAUCAUCCAGUGAUACCACCCAUGCUUCAAAGGUCCCAGAUCUGCAUGCUACAAGCUCAGCAUCUGGGGGCCCUCUCCCUUCCUGCUUCACCCCCAGUCCGGCACCCAUCCUCAAUAUUAACUCAGCCAGCUUCUCCCAGGGCCUGGAGCUAAUGAGUGGUUUCAGUGUGCCAAAAGAGACCCGUAUGUACCCCAAACUCUCAGGCCUGCACAGGAGCAUGGAGUCCCUCCAGAUGCCAAUGAGCCUCCCCAGUGCCUUCCCCAGCAGUACUCCCGUCCCCACCCCACCUGCUCCCCCUGCUGCUCCCACAGAAGAAGAGACGGAAGAGCUGACUUGGAGUGGAAGCCCCAGAGCUGGGCAACUGGACAGUAAUCAGCGGGAUCGGAACACUCUUCCCAAGAAAGGGCUCAGGUACCAGCUUCAGUCCCAGGAGGAGACCAAGGAGAGGCGACAUUCCCAUACCAUUGGUGGGCUGCCUGAAUCCGAUGACCAGUCAGAGCUGCCUUCUCCCCCUGCACUUCCCAUGUCUCUGAGUGCAAAGGGCCAACUUACCAACAUAGUGAGUCCCACUGCGGCCACCACGCCAAGAAUCACCCGCUCCAACAGCAUCCCCACCCACGAGGCGGCCUUCGAGCUGUACAGCGGCUCCCAAAUGGGGAGCACCCUGUCCCUGGCCGAGAGACCCAAGGGAAUGAUUCGGUCAGGAUCCUUCCGAGACCCCACGGAUGAUGUUCACGGCUCAGUGCUGUCCCUGGCCUCCAGUGCCUCCUCCACCUACUCCUCACAAAUCCGGAAGCUUCGUAGGGAACUGGAAUCAUCCCAGGAAAAAGUGGCCACCUUGACGUCUCAGCUUUCUGCCAAUGCUAAUCUGGUGGCUGCUUUUGAGCAGAGCCUGGUGAAUAUGACAUCCCGCCUGCGACACCUGGCAGAGACGGCCGAGGAGAAGAUGGAGUUUCGUUCUUGUCACCCAGGCUGGAGUGCACUGGCGCGAUCUUGGCUAACUGCAAACUCUGCCUCCCAGGACACUGAGCUGCUGGAUUUGCGAGAAACCAUAGACUUUCUGAAGAAAAAGAACUCUGAGGCCCAGGCAGUCAUUCAGGGAGCCCUUAAUGCCUCAGAAACCACACCCAAAGAACUUCGGAUCAAGAGACAAAACUCCUCAGAUAGCAUCUCAAGCCUCAACAGCAUCACUAGCCAUUCCAGCAUCGGCAGCAGCAAGGAUGCUGAUGCG